This is a transfer RNA of 87 nucleotides. It matches the Rfam family "tRNA". From Rfam's summary of the family: Transfer RNA (tRNA) molecules are approximately 80 nucleotides in length. Their secondary structure includes four short double-helical elements and three loops (D, anti-codon, and T loops).
GGGUAGGUGGCCGAGUGGACAAUGGCAGCAGACUGUAAAUUUGCCGGGCUACGCCCUACGCGUGUUCGAAUCACGCCCUGCCCACCA